Molecule: long non-coding RNA, 590 nt
Filed under: Chrysemys picta bellii (western painted turtle)
Lineage: Eukaryota; Metazoa; Chordata; Testudines; Emydidae
Description: lncRNA (ENSCPBG00000024903.1)
Source: RNAcentral
AUCAUGAUUACAGUGGGGCUGAGGUGAUAGGCUGGUGUUACAGGGUAGCUUGUCGCUGAGGAUAAACUAAUCCAGCCCAGCUCCCCUGGAGCAGAGCAGGGAAGCCUAGUCCAGCCAAUUAAAGAGGGUUGGAUUACAGCUGGGCCUAUAAAGGGCUGCUAGUGGGCAGCUGGGGGAGAUUGAGUGAGACCAGCUGUACCCUGGGAUGGGAAAACCACACUGGACUGGAGCUAGCUCCUGUGGUGGAUCUGUGGAGUAAGGGGCUCAGAGAAGCAGCCCUGGGGCUGCAGCUCCAGGAAGGGAGCAGAGCUGAUUGGAAUUGAGAAGCUGCCAGGAGCAGGAGUGGCAGAGACCGCUGGUCUGGGUGGCCCUGAAGCUGGAGGCUAAGGAAUUAGUUAAAAGGACUGUGUUUCUCUGUUUGCUAACCUCCUUGCAAGAGACUGGGCAUGUCAGUGCACAUGUUGGAGCUGGGGAGAUAUCCAGCUCAGUGGCAGAUCUGUUUUCACAACUUAGACAGACACCAGGAUUCUGUUAAUUACACACUCAGGAGAGAAUAUCUUGUUGUCGCCUAUGGAUGUAGGCAGCUGUGA